RNAcentral lists this long non-coding RNA (1059 nucleotides) under Salvia miltiorrhiza (redroot sage). RNAcentral describes it as "long non-coding RNA (SMIL_LNC005484)". Lineage: Eukaryota; Viridiplantae; Streptophyta; Magnoliopsida; Lamiales; Lamiaceae. The record is from RNAcentral.
GCGAGGUCGCCGCACAAUCGGUCGGCGCAACCCUGUCUGCUUCUCUCUUUACGCCUUCACCUCUCGAGUGAAUCCCUCAGAAAUCACACCAACAAGAGCCCUAAUUUCUCCCAUCAUAAAUCGUUGCCGCCGUUGAAAAACUGGGAUCCGGCGAGCGUCGGCUGCUGUCACGCCCUUGUCUGGAGCCAUCGCCGCCGUUUGGAGCGGCUGCUGCUUCGCCUGGAGUCGCCGCCGACUGCUGCUGCUCGUCAGGCCGCCGAGGGCUUCGUCUGCCGCUGCUCUGGCCGUCCCAACCGCCGGCGAGCAAUUGUUGAUCGCGCCGCCUUCUUUCCCUUCAUCGCAGAGCCCUAAUCGUCAAACCCAGGUCGCUGCUGCGGCCGCAUCCUCGUCCGAAAUCCGACGGGCUGCUGUCGUCUGGGAGCGGCGCUGCUCCGGCCUCCUCCUCUCCGUCGCGACUCUCGGCUGAACUCGUCUUAAGCCGAGCCCCAAAUGGCUCGGUUCUAAGCAUAAGAGGAAAGUAUCAGUCUCUAUCUUGCUGUAAUUAUCUCCGCUUGGGCAAGAUAGGAUUUUUGGUGGUUUUUCUCAUUGAUUCUCAGUUAGUGAAUUUAUCUAGCAGUAAAAUAUAGUUAUGCUAAGGUUAGCCAUUUAUGCAUAUAGUUUUUUUUUAUUGGCAUGAACUGGCAUUCUAUGUUUCUCAUAAAAAUGAGUUCAUAUAAUCUGUUGGUUUGCUAGUGAGUUCUAUGUCGAUAAUAUGGUCAUGCUUCUCCUCUCAUACUCAAAAUCCAAUCGAGCUCUCUCUCCAAUCCAUUCACUUAUCUAGUUUCUGUGAGUUCUUGUGAUUGUUACUCUGGAGUGUAGUGGAAGUGAAGCAUAUAAAUCCUUCUGUUGUAAAGUAUCUCCCUAUUGUACAACAUAUCUUGACUAUUUCGUGUAGAUGAACUGUGAUUAUGCUAAAUAUGGAUGCGAACUGAAUCGAAUACUCUAUUGUUAACUGAUCAUGCUUGCUGGAUGAUGCGAAAUGGAUCGAAUAAGUGAGCUUAGAUAUACCUUGUAAUUGUU